AGUGAACGCUGGCGGUAGGCCUAACACAUGCAAGUCGAACGGCAGCACAGUAAGAGCUUGCUCUUACGGGUGGCGAGUGGCGGACGGGUGAGGAAUACAUCGGAAUCUACUUUUUCGUGGGGGAUAACGUAGGGAAACUUACGCUAAUACCGCAUACGACCUACGGGUGAAAGCAGGGGAUCUUCGGACCUUGCGCGAUUGAAUGAGCCGAUGUCGGAUUAGCUAGUUGGCGGGGUAAAGGCCCACCAAGGCGACGAUCCGUAGCUGGUCUGAGAGGAUGAUCAGCCACACUGGAACUGAGACACGGUCCAGACUCCUACGGGAGGCCGCAGUGGGGAAUAUUGGACGAUGGGCGAAAGCCUGAUACAGCCAUACCGCGUGGGUGAAGAAGGCCUUCGGGUUGUAAAGCGCUUUUGUUGGGAAAGAAAAGCAGCAGGUUAAUACCCCGCUGUUCUGACGGUACCCAAAGAAUAAGCACCGGCUAACUUCGUG
RNAcentral lists this ribosomal RNA (492 nucleotides) under uncultured bacterium. Its description in RNAcentral is "partial 16S ribosomal RNA". It matches the Rfam family "Bacterial small subunit ribosomal RNA", at positions 29 to 507 of the family's 1533-position model. The record is from RNAcentral.